This 549-nucleotide ribosomal RNA is filed under the name uncultured bacterium. Its description in RNAcentral is "bacterial SSU rRNA". It matches the Rfam family "Bacterial small subunit ribosomal RNA", at positions 355 to 896 of the family's 1533-position model. The record is from RNAcentral.
UAGGGAAUCUUCCACAAUGGACGCAAGUCUGAUGGAGCAACGCCGCGUGAGUGAAGAAGGUCUUCGGAUCGUAAAACUCUGUUGUUAGAGAAGAACACGAGUGAGAGUAACUGUUCAUUCGAUGACGGUAUCUAACCAGCAAGUCACGGCUAACUACGUGCCAGCAGCCGCGGUAAUACGUAGGUGGCAAGCGUUGUCCGGAUUUAUUGGGCGUAAAGGGAACGCAGGCGGUCUUUUAAGUCUGAUGUGAAAGCCUUCGGCUUAACCGGAGUAGUGCAUUGGAAACUGGAAGACUUGAGUGCAGAAGAGGAGAGUGGAACUCCAUGUGUAGCGGUGAAAUGCGUAGAUAUAUGGAAGAACACCAGUGGCGAAAGCGGCUCUCUGGUCUGUAACUGACGCUGAGGUUCGAAAGCGUGGGUAGCAAACAGGAUUAGAUACCCUGGUAGUCCACGCCGUAAACGAUGUCGACUUGGAGGUUGUGCCCUUGAGGCGUGGCUUCCGGAGCUAACGCGUUAAGUCGACCGCCUGGGGAGUACGGCCGCAAGGUUA